GGAUGGGGGAGCGACUGGAGCUACAGACUAGGAGUGGAGGAAAAGACAGACAGACAGAAGUGCCUGAACUCCACAACUUGCCUGGCAGUGCAGAGAGCAGGAACUGUGGAGUAUUGUUCUGUGAGCCUGGAAACCUCUCUGAUCUGUGCUGGACUCCAGGCCAUGGCAUUGGCAGAGUUGAUGGAGCUUCUCAGCUGGAUCCUGGUUAUGAGCCUUGGGCUGUCCCAGAGGUGACUGAGGAAGAAGGAGAUCACAACAUGCCAUGGAAGCUCCUCCCCUGUGUUUGACUCCCUGUUUGGUUCCUGCAGUCCAUGGUGAUCAAGCCUCUUGGUGUAAUCCUGUUCCUGAGCCUGGGGGCAAUC
Long non-coding RNA from Columba livia (rock pigeon), 362 nucleotides. RefSeq lists it as uncharacterized. Lineage: Eukaryota; Metazoa; Chordata; Aves; Columbiformes; Columbidae. The record is from RefSeq and is a predicted model, not a curated record. The transcript is spliced from 3 exons.